AUUGAACGCUGGCGGCAGGCCUAACACAUGCAAGUCGAGCGGAUGAAGGGAGCUUGCUCCUGGAUUCAGCGGCGGACGGGUGAGUAAUGCCUAGGAAUCUGCCUGGUAGUGGGGGAUAACGUCCGGAAACGGGCGCUAAUACCGCAUACGUCCUGAGGGAGAAAGUGGGGGAUCUUCGGACCUCACGCUAUUAGAUGAGCCUAGGUCGGAUUAGCUAGUUGGUGGGGUAAAGGCCUACCAAGGCGACGAUCCGUAACUGGUCUGAGAGGAUGAUCAGUCACACUGGAACUGAGACACGGUCUAGACUCCUACGGGAGGCAGCAGUGGGGAAUAUUGGACAAUGGGCGAAAGCCUGAUCCAUCCAUGCCGCGUGUGUGAAGAAGGUCUUCGGAUUGUAAAGCACUUUAAGUUGGGAGGAAGGGCAGUAAGUUAAUACCUUGCUGUUUUGACGUUACCAACAGAAUAAGCACCGGCUAACUUCGUG
RNAcentral lists this ribosomal RNA (484 nucleotides) under uncultured bacterium. RNAcentral describes it as "partial 16S ribosomal RNA". It matches the Rfam family "Bacterial small subunit ribosomal RNA", at positions 30 to 507 of the family's 1533-position model. The record is from RNAcentral.